AGGAGGUGGGCUUCCUCACGUGGCUCGCCUGUGAAGACAGUGACACCCGCCCGUUCCUCCCUCCUCUGGUACCACAGUGUCUCUUCUGGGGACGUUCUGACUCUGCUCCAGCGUGCUGGUGUGCCCCUGCCAGUGGCCCAGCCCCAGGUUUCUGCCCCGUGAGUGGUCGGCGUGGCAGUGAGAACAGAGGGAAGAAGGCCCAACCUGGCUGCUCUGCUCCUGCCACUUGGCGACUCCUGGCCUUGCCUGUCUGGGAACCUGGCAUGACCUGGUCCCUGGCACCUCGCAUGGACCUGCACUGUGGCCCUGCUGUGCACCAGGCUUCCUUCUGCUGAGGGCUGCUCCUG
This is a long non-coding RNA of Manis javanica (Malayan pangolin), 347 nucleotides long. RefSeq lists it as uncharacterized. The record is from RefSeq and is a predicted model, not a curated record. NCBI's taxonomy places the organism in Eukaryota, Metazoa, Chordata, Mammalia, Pholidota, Manidae.